GGGAGUCGGUGUGGACGCGAGGAGCCGGGCGCUUAGAACAGAGGCUUGCACAGGUGGAGAUGUGGAAGUCUGUAGUGGGCCAUGAUGUGUCUGUUUCCGUGGAGACCCAGGGUGAUGAUUGGGACACAGAUCCUGACUUUGUGAAUGACAUCUCUGAAAAGGAGCAACGAUGGGGAGCCAAGACCAUCGAGGGGUCUGGACGCACAGAACACAUCAAGUAGGUGCCAAAAGGACUGGAGAAAAGGAAGGGGGUUAUGGGAAGAGCCCAAAGAAAACUCGGAGACUUGGGGGAAGAUUUUAAAAAGUGUCAGUGGAUGACCACAUUGCACAAGCAACAUACUGUGAAAGCCUGGCACAAGUUUCUACAACUGCAGAAAUAAAUGGUUUCGGCCGGGCAUGGUGGCUUACGCUUGUAAUCCCAAAACUUUGGGAGGCCAAGCCAGGAAGAUCACUUGAGGUCAGGAGUUCAAGACCAGCU
This 478-nucleotide small RNA is filed under the name Pan troglodytes (chimpanzee). RNAcentral's name for it is "processed transcript". Lineage: Eukaryota; Metazoa; Chordata; Mammalia; Primates; Hominidae. The record is from RNAcentral.